CGGAACGACNUUNACAAUCCUUCGGGUGCGUUAAUGGGCGUCGAGCGGCGGACGGGUGAGUAAUGCCUAGGAAAUUGCCUUGAUGUGGGGGAUAACCAUUGGAAACGAUGGCUAAUACCGCAUGAUGCCUACGGGCCAAAGAGGGGGACCUUCGGGCCUCUCGCGUCAAGAUAUGCCUAGGUGGGAUUAGCUAGUUGGUGAGGUAAUGGCUCACCAAGGCGACGAUCCCUAGCUGGUCUGAGAGGAUGAUCAGCCACACUGGAACUGAGACACGGUCCAGACUCCUACGGGAGGCAGCAGUGGGGAAUAUUGCACAAUGGGCGCAAGCCUGAUGCAGCCAUGCCGCGUGUAUGAAGAAGGCCUUCGGGUUGUAAAGUACUUUCAGUUGUGAGGAAGGGGGUGUUGUUAAUAGCAACAUCUCUUGACGUUAGCAACAGAAGAAGCACCGGCUAACUCCGUGCCAGCAGCCGCGGUAAUACGGAGGGUGCGAGCGUUAAUCGGAAUUACUGGGCGUAAAGCGCAUGCAGGUGGUUCAUUAAGUCAGAUGUGAAAGCCCGGGGCUCAACCUCGGAACUGCAUUUGAAACUGGUGAACUAGAGUACUGUAGAGGGGGGUAGAAUUUCNNNUGUAGCGGUGAAAUGCGUAGAGAUCUGA
This 654-nucleotide ribosomal RNA is filed under the name Vibrio sp. SC25. RNAcentral describes it as "bacterial SSU rRNA". It matches the Rfam family "Bacterial small subunit ribosomal RNA", at positions 67 to 701 of the family's 1533-position model. Lineage: Bacteria; Pseudomonadati; Pseudomonadota; Gammaproteobacteria; Vibrionales; Vibrionaceae. The record is from RNAcentral.